This 201-nucleotide unclassified non-coding RNA is filed under the name Hevea brasiliensis (rubber tree). Lineage: Eukaryota; Viridiplantae; Streptophyta; Magnoliopsida; Malpighiales; Euphorbiaceae. The record is from RNAcentral.
GUUUCUUUCUGUUUGGACUUGUGGAGGAGCAUGAGUAGAGAGGACACUUGACAUUUGCUGUUCGGUGAGAAUUGGUUGGCCAAAGAGUAAAAACCGAGGUGUCUUCACAUUAUCAGCUUUCUCCAUCUGACUAGAGGUACCCAUGGUAAGCAAGCAAGAUAUAUUUUCAUUGCUCUCUUUUUGGACCUUACUUGUGCCAAU